GUUGACGAGCGGNGGACUGGGUAGUAAUGUCUGGGAAACUGCCUGAUGGAGGGGGAUAACUANUGGAAACGGUAGCUAACACGCAUAACGUCUGCAAGACCAAAGAGGGGGACCCUUCGGGCCUCUUGCCAUCANAUGUGCCCAGAUGGGAUUAGCUAGUAGGGUGGGGUAACGGCUCACCUAGGCGACGAAUCCCUAGCUGGUCUGAGAGGGAUGAACCGAGGCCACACUGGGAACUGAGAACACGGUCCAGACUCCUACGGGAGGCACGCAGUGGGGAAUAUUGCACCAAUGGGGCGCAAGGCCUGAUUGCAAGCCAUGCCGGCGUUGUANUUGACANCGACCGGGCCUUCGGGGGUUUGUACAACGUACUUUUUCAGGAGCNGAGGGGACGAGAAACGGUUGCUCAGUUGGCGUCGAAAGUACAUCCNAACAAGCAGCAAUUGACCCUGUUCACCCCAGCACAGAAAAGAGNACAGGCAAACCGCGGGGUAAGACGCGAUACCACGAUGGACCCGAAGGGCGAGGACCACAAGGCCGGGGUAAAACAUCCCCGAGGCAGGACAGGGCGGUUGCGGCAAAACGACANGUCUCAACAGU
Molecule: ribosomal RNA, 600 nt
Filed under: uncultured bacterium
Lineage: Bacteria
Description: partial 16S ribosomal RNA
Rfam family: Bacterial small subunit ribosomal RNA (bases 1-324)
Source: RNAcentral